This is a ribosomal RNA of 627 nucleotides. It matches the Rfam family "Bacterial small subunit ribosomal RNA", at positions 891 to 1520 of the family's 1533-position model.
AGGUUAAAACUCAAAUGAAUUGACGGGGGCCCGCACAAGCGGUGGAGCAUGUGGUUUAAUUCGAUGCAACGCGAAGAACCUUACCUACCCUUGACAUCGUGCGAACUUGGUAGAGAUACCUUGGUGCCUUCGGGAACGCACAGACAGGUGCUGCAUGGCUGUCGUCAGCUCGUGUUGUGAAAUGUUGGGUUAAGUCCCGUAACGAGCGCAACCCUUGUCCCUAUUUGCCAGCGAUUCGGUCGGGAACUCUAGGGAGACUGCCGGUGACAAACCGGAGGAAGGUGGGGACGACGUCAAGUCAUCAUGGCCCUUACGGGUAGGGCUACACACGUGCUACAAUGGCCGGUACAAAGGGUUGCGAAUCCGCGAGGUGGAGCUAAUCCCGAAAAGCCGGUCUCAGUCCGGAUCGGAGUCUGCAACUCGACUCCGUGAAGUCGGAAUCGCUAGUAAUCGUGCAUCAGAAUGGCACGGUGAAUACGUUCCCGGGCCUUGUACACACCGCCCGUCACACCAUGGGAGUGGACUGCACCAGAAGUGGUUAGCCUAACUUCGGAGGGCGAUCACCACGGUGUGGUUCAUGACUGGGGUGAAGUCGUAACAAGGUAGCCGUAGGGGAACCUGCGGCUG